CAGCAGCCGCGGGAAUACAGAGGAUGCAAGCGUUAUCCGGAAUGAUUGGGCGUAAAGCGUCUGUAGGUGGCUUUUCAAGUCCGCCGUCAAAUCCCAGGGCUCAACCCUGGACAGGCGGUGGAAACUACCAAGCUGGAGUACGGUAGGGGCAGAGGGAAUUUCCGGUGGAGCGGUGAAAUGCGUAGAGAUGUGGAGGAACACCAGUGGCGAAGGCGACUCUCUGGUCUGUAACUGACGCUGAGGAGCGAAAGCGUGGGGAGCGAACAGGAUUAGAUACCCGCGUAGUCCCUGUCUCUUAUAC
Molecule: ribosomal RNA, 301 nt
Filed under: uncultured bacterium
Lineage: Bacteria
Description: partial 16S ribosomal RNA
Rfam family: Bacterial small subunit ribosomal RNA
Source: RNAcentral